UACGUAGGGGGCAAGCGUUGUCCGGAAUCAUUGGGCGUAAAGAGCGUGUAGGCGGCCAGAAAAGUCCGCUGUGAAAACUCGAGGCUCAACUUCGAGCUGUCGGUGGAAACUUUCUGGCUAGAGUCCGGAAGAGGAGAAUGGAAUUCCUGGUGUAGCGGUGAAAUGCGCAGAUAUCAGGAAGAACACCCGUGGCGAAGGCGGUUCUCUGGGACGGUACUGACGCUGAGACGUGAAAGCGUGGGGAGCGAACAGG
RNAcentral lists this ribosomal RNA (253 nucleotides) under uncultured bacterium. RNAcentral describes it as "partial 16S ribosomal RNA". It matches the Rfam family "Bacterial small subunit ribosomal RNA", at positions 524 to 776 of the family's 1533-position model. The record is from RNAcentral.